AAGUUGAUGCUAUGAGAUUAACAGGCCUGUGUGUCUGUGUCUGCAGCAACAGUCUGAUGAUGGCUCAAAACUGAGUCUCUUUUCUUUGCACAUAUCAGUGCUGAACUUUGGUGUCAGACUAACAACCAAUGCCAUCUGUUAUUGCUCAUCACCACAGGCUGUAAACAGAAAUACAAAAAAAGGCAGAGGAAAAUGAGGAAUUAACGGCAUUUGACAAACACAUGAAACUCCACAUGUGGCCACAUACGGGAGGUCUUUUUCUAUUGUUAAACACAUAAUGAUGCGAUUCUUUGGUGAUGUAGUCAUACUUUCUUUUUUUACCACAGAAGUUUUGCAGCUUUCUGUGUUUUCAUCACCUGAUCUUUGAUCAUUUUCAAAACAUUGGACCCACCGAACAGAUAAAGGGAUAAGAUAAUACGACUUGAAUGAUAAUAAUAAAAAAAUCAAUCUUAUUGCUGAUGGUCUUGUGUGCUUUUGUUGGUCAUAAACAGGUGCUACCAUUAGUCUGACACAGAAGCUUUGAGGCAUGAAAAUCAAUUGAUGUGACUACUAGUGCUGAAUGCUUCCUUAGCCUUUCGCCUUUUAUGAUAUCCAUACUAAUUUCUCAGAAUAUGACACAAGUUAAACUUUAAAGACCCACCCUGAUAAAAAAUUAUGCUUCUCUUGUUGUCUACAUGUUCAUAUGGCGAUUUUCAUUAGGAAUAUUUCUGCAUUUAAAUCAUUGUGAACCUCUCACAGACCCAAACGGCAGGUUAAGAUGCAGUAAGACUUUCCAUGUCACAAUUCCAAGCUCUGCCUCCGCCAUCCUGCUCUGCAGCACAGCUGUCAAGUAUCCCAUUUUGGCCAGGAAGCUAUCAUAUUUUACCCCUUAUUACUACUCUCCCGGAAAUAUGUCGUUUUAUAAUAUAUGUAUAUAAAAAACAUUAUUCUGCCACACCAAACUGAACUUUGUGACUAGCGCACACCAAGUACCCACCAACUAGUCAUAGCACGGACUAGCGCGCUAAGUACCCGAACCAAUACUUGAGAGUUAUGCUCUGCAGGCCAGACUCCGAGAAGUAGAGAGGACAAUCGUGGAAAAAGUGUGUGUGGUAGCAGAUUGCAAUGCUUGUUAGCAAGCUAUGAACUAUAACUAUGAAACUAGCUUUCAUCAUGCUUCCAAAAGACAUUAGUGUCAGAGAGCUGAAUGGCUCCUAUGUUACCUGCCACUUCUACUACACCGGCAAUGUUAGGCUACAAGCUAGCGUGAAGAGGAGGGUGCAGAACAUAGCUAACUACGCCCACAACUCAAGAGGCAAAUUGCUAAUGAGCUACUGGAGUUCUGCAGAAGAAAGGCCCUUGAAAAUAACACAGGUAACGUGAUUUUGGCUGAAAAUUUCAUACUCACAAUUUGAAGACCACUGAGAACACUUUAAGUAGUAAAAAAAAAAGGAAAUCGAUUGGAGAGGGACUUUAAGCUUCCACAUUAUUAAACAGAGAAGUGACAAUUGCGGUUUCAGGUGUAAGCUGAAACAAGCAUUUGUGGUAGCUACAGAAGAAAAAUAGUAAAUAUAUACUUAUAUGAUCCAGGGUUUAAAAUACAAAUGAAAGCAUAAAUUAACAGUGUUUCUAUUUAGAGCCAUAGAAACGCUAUGAAUGGUAAAAUAUCAAUAUUUACACAGAAUGUCUUCAUGACCUUGACUUUAAAAGCUGUUCAGAGACCCUGAUUUAAAUUCCACAUGCAUGUGACAGCAGUCAUUAGCAAACCUCACACUGUGUCAGGACCAGAUAAUCCACAGCCAAUAUUCCUACUGUGCUCGGCUCUGCUCUCCGACCCAGCAUGUGCAACUGGCCCCCCUCCCUGAGGAGUAACAAUAUGAAUGGGUAUUAAAAGUAUAUGUUGGGGGGAACAUUGUUCCCCAUGGGCUUAUCCUGGUUCCACGCUGUUGGCAAACCUAACAAGGCAGACAGAGCUGCAGCCUGUGAGACGACCCAAGUCCCGAGAGAAAUUUAUGAAGAUCACGAGUCAGACUCACUCCUCUGGAAACUUAAAGCAGGGAAGAUUUGUUUCUCAGACAUUUACUGUCAAAGAAUCACAUCUGAUUGGACCCAAAGGAUAAGGUGAAGGU
RNAcentral lists this long non-coding RNA (2108 nucleotides) under Xyrichtys novacula (pearly razorfish). The record is from RNAcentral. Lineage: Eukaryota; Metazoa; Chordata; Actinopteri; Labriformes; Labridae.